Molecule: long non-coding RNA, 393 nt
Organism: Helianthus annuus (common sunflower)
Lineage: Eukaryota; Viridiplantae; Streptophyta; Magnoliopsida; Asterales; Asteraceae
Exons: 3
Source: RefSeq, a predicted model, not a curated record
AAAGUUGUUUUAUUAAAACAAGAGUUAAAACACCAAAACACACACUUAAAGUGUGUGUUCUGGUCGUGACAAUCACAGGAGCCAAGGGAGGGUUCCUUACUCAAACCCUAACUUGCCUAAAUCCAAGAAAUUGAGAGGCCAAAUCAGUCCCAAAUCGAAAUCCAAGCUCGUAUUCAUGAACACCAAGUUGAAAGGAUCACAAGGUGGAAGCUUGGAGUGAAAGCGGGUCAAACAAGUCAAGCAUGGAAGAAAAGCGUAGCUCGGAUGCAAGGUAAUUUGUGGAAGCCGGAAGUCGAUCAAGCUCAACGAAGAACCGAACACGAUACAGUUACAUGCUUCCGCACUUCGCCACGUUGUAAAUUUUAAACAACGAACUUCGAUCACGUUAUGUAG